This is a long non-coding RNA of Haliotis rubra (blacklip abalone), 399 nucleotides long. RefSeq lists it as uncharacterized. The transcript has 2 exons. The record is from RefSeq and is a predicted model, not a curated record. NCBI's taxonomy places the organism in Eukaryota, Metazoa, Mollusca, Gastropoda, Lepetellida, Haliotidae.
GUAUUCUUCAUAUCCUUCUUUUGGUCAUCCUCGUCAUUGGGGCUGCCAUGGGAGUCCCAGGUAAACAAAGCCAACUCAAGAAGCCCUUCUACCAAAGAAGACGUAUUAACCUGCGACUCUACAAUAUGAGAAGGUUUCUGAUGGCUCAGAGGUACCGCUAUUUUGAUGAUGACAACUCAGACUUCGACAGAUACGACUUCUCCGAGAGUUGAGGCAAAAGACACGGAUAAAAAACACUGGAUACUUCAGCUGCUAGGCAAGGAACACGUCACAUCAGAUGAGACAUUUCCACCACAAAUUGCAUAUCAUCAUGUACUGCAGCAGUCUGGGUAACUUAGGUCGCUAUAGCGGCGAUAACAUAACUGUAAGUGUGAUGUUGAACUAAAACACUUUCGUUUU